CAAGACAGACGGAUGGUUGCCCAGUCUGUUACCUAAUUAUCAGCAAUUAUUUUUAUUAAUUUUUGGUUUUUGGGGCAGAUUGGGAGGAAAGUCCGGACUCCCAUUCCUUAUCACAAGGAAUGAAGUGGGUAGUGGGUAACGCCCACCGCCUAGCCUCAUUAUAAAAAAUGGGGUUAGGUAGGGAAAGUGCCACAGAGACCAUACUAUCCCCCACCACCUUGUAAUUUCUACAAAUGUCCAACGAUAAGAUUGAGAUUAUAGGGUGGUGGGGGAGAAAGGUGAAAAGUGAGUUGGUGUUCCCCAUUUUUGGGGGGCUACAACUCUUCCCGGUUGGUGACAGCCGAGGACGGCAAACCCUACCCGGAGCAAGAGCAAACUCUAAUUGGCUUUUGGCUAAUUAGGGAGAAAGUGGCUCGCUUGAGCUUGCCAGCAAUGGUAAGCCCAGAUAGAUAACCAUCACUCAACUCGCCAAAACGGGUUGAGCACAGAAUCCGGCUUAUAGUCUGUCUUGACCU
The sequence is an RNase P RNA, 515 nucleotides long. It matches the Rfam family "Bacterial RNase P class A". Rfam says of the family: Ribonuclease P (RNase P) is a ubiquitous endoribonuclease, found in archaea, bacteria and eukarya as well as chloroplasts and mitochondria. Its best characterised activity is the generation of mature 5'-ends of tRNAs by cleaving the 5'-leader elements of precursor-tRNAs.